RNAcentral lists this Y RNA (113 nucleotides) under Prolemur simus (greater bamboo lemur). RNAcentral describes it as "Y RNA (ENSPSMG00000014505.1)". It matches the Rfam family "Y RNA". Rfam says of the family: Y RNAs are components of the Ro ribonucleoprotein particle (Ro RNP), in association with Ro60 and La proteins. The Y RNAs and Ro60 and La proteins are well conserved, but the function of the Ro RNP is not known. The record is from Rfam by way of RNAcentral. Lineage: Eukaryota; Metazoa; Chordata; Mammalia; Primates; Lemuridae.
GGCUGGUUCAAAAGUAAUGAGUUAUCUCACUUGAUUGUUCACAGUCAGUUACAGAUUGAACUCCUUGUUCUACUCUUUUCCCACUUCUCACUACUGCACUUGGCUAGUCUAAA